Molecule: ribosomal RNA, 404 nt
Filed under: uncultured bacterium
Lineage: Bacteria
Description: bacterial SSU rRNA
Rfam family: Bacterial small subunit ribosomal RNA
Source: RNAcentral
GGGCCCGCACAAGCGGCGGAGCAUGUUGCUUAAUUCGAGGCAACGCGAAGAACCUUACCAGGGUUUGACAUCCUGCGAAUCUCUUGGAAACUUGAGAGUGCCUUCGGGAGCGCAGUGACAGGUGGUGCAUGGCUGUCGUCAGCUCGUGUCGUGAGAUGUUGGGUUAAGUCCCGCAACGAGCGCAACCCACGUCUUUAGUUGCCAGCAUUUAGUUGGGCACUCUAGAGAGACCGCCGGUGAUAAACCGGAGGAAGGUGUGGAUGACGUCAAGUCAUCAUGCCCCUUACAUCCUGGGCUACACACGUACUACAAUGCUACGGACAAAGGGCAGCAAGUUCGCGAGGACAAGCAAAUCCCAUAAACCGUGGCUCAGUUCAGAUCGUAGGCUGCAACUCGCCUACGUG